This 478-nucleotide ribosomal RNA is filed under the name uncultured bacterium. Its description in RNAcentral is "partial 16S ribosomal RNA". It matches the Rfam family "Bacterial small subunit ribosomal RNA", at positions 28 to 523 of the family's 1533-position model. The record is from RNAcentral.
GACGAACGCUGGCGGCGUGCUUAACACAUGCAAGUCGAACGGUAAGGCCCUUCGGGGUACACGAGUGGCGAACGGGUGGGUAACACGUGGGUGAUCUGCCCUGCACUUCGGGAUAAGCCUGGGAAACUGGGUCUAAUACCGGAUAGGACUCCGGACUGCAUGGUCUGGGGUGGAAAGCUUUUGCGGUGUGGGAUGGGCCCGCGGCCUAUCAGCUCGGUGGUGGGGUGAUGGCUUACCAAGGCGACGACGGGUAGCCGGCCUGAGAGGGUGACCGGCCACACUGGGGCUGAGAUACGGCCCAGACUCCUACGGGAGGCAGCAGUGGGGAGUAUUGCACAAUGGGCGCAAGCCUGAUGCAGCGACGCCGCGUGAGGGAUGACGGCCUUCGGGUUGUAAACCUCUUUCAGCAUCGACGAAGCGAAAGUGACGGUAGGUGCAGAAGAAGGACCGGCCAACUACGUGCCAGCAGCCGCGGUAA